ACGCGAGGAACCUUACCAGGUCUUGACAUCCUCUGACAACCCUAGAGAUAGGGCGUUCCCCUUCGGGGGACAGAGUGACAGGUGGUGCAUGGUUGUCGUCAGCUCGUGUCGUGAGAUGUUGGGUUAAGUCCCGCAACGAGCGCAACCCUUGUCCUUAGUUGCCAGCAUUCAGUUGGGCACUCUAAGGAGACUGCCGGUGACAAACCGGAGGAAGGUGGGGAUGACGUCAAAUCAUCAUGCCCCUUAUGACCUGGGCUACACACGUGCUACAAUGGAUAGAACAAAGGGCAGCGAAGCCGCGAGGUCAAGCAAAUCCCAUAAAUCUAUUCUCAGUUCGGAUUGUAGGCUGCAACUCGCCUACAUGAAGCCGGAAUCGCUAGUAAUCGCGGAUCAGCAUGCCGCGGUGAAUACGUUCCCGGGCCUUGCACACACCGCCCGU
This 439-nucleotide ribosomal RNA is filed under the name uncultured bacterium. RNAcentral's name for it is "bacterial SSU rRNA". It matches the Rfam family "Bacterial small subunit ribosomal RNA", at positions 959 to 1397 of the family's 1533-position model. The record is from RNAcentral.